Molecule: ribosomal RNA, 221 nt
Filed under: uncultured bacterium
Lineage: Bacteria
Description: partial 16S ribosomal RNA
Rfam family: Bacterial small subunit ribosomal RNA
Source: RNAcentral
CACCAAGGCGACGAUCAGUAGCCGACCUGAGAGGGUGGACGGCCACAUUGGGACUGAGACACGGCCCAGACUCCUACGGGAGGCAGCAGUGGGGAAUAUUGCACAAUGGGGGAAACCCUGAUGCAGCGACGCCGCGUGAGCGAAGAAGUAUCUCGGUAUGUAAACUUCUAUCAGCAGGGAAGAGAAUGACGGUACCUGACUAAGAAGCCCUGGCUAACUAC